GGGCGAGCGGGUACGGCUUCUCCCCGGCGCCGGUGACACCCUGCGGCGGGGCGCCCCGGAGAGGCCGUCUCGGAGGGAGCCCCACGCCUCGCCGCGGCUGCCCGCGCGCAAUCUCGGCUCAUUUUCUCUAAGCAAUACAAGUUCACGGACGAGCUACCUAGCCAGCCCUCCUCUCCCGUCAUGGACCUCCCAGGCUGCUGCGCGCCGCCCGCCCUCUGAGGAGACUCCUUCGCCCCGCGCGGAGGAGGAGGAGGAGGAGGAGGAGGAGGAGGCGGAGGAGGGAGGAGGAGAAGGGGAGGAAGGCGCGGCCCCAGCCGCCGCUUCCCAGCCGCCGUCCCGCAGAGCGCUGGCCGCCGGGCGCCGCGGCGGCAGCAGGCGCGCAGCCCCCUCGGCUCCCCGCGGCCGCCCG
This is a long non-coding RNA of Tyto alba (common barn owl), 409 nucleotides long. RefSeq lists it as uncharacterized. The record is from RefSeq and is a predicted model, not a curated record. The transcript has 3 exons. Lineage: Eukaryota; Metazoa; Chordata; Aves; Strigiformes; Tytonidae.